Non-coding RNA from Punica granatum (pomegranate), 252 nucleotides. NCBI's taxonomy places the organism in Eukaryota, Viridiplantae, Streptophyta, Magnoliopsida, Myrtales, Lythraceae. The record is from Rfam.
UAUGGGGGGAGAGAGCUUCCUUCGGCCCACUCAUGGGUGGCAAUAUUAAGGGGUUGAAUUAGCUGCCGACUCAUUCACUCAAUCACUCAGUAGAGAUCUAAAAUGACGCGGUGGGUCGUUCUUGCUGUGAUCGUCGAUUGGCAUCCUCUUAAGCGUAAAAUUCUACUGCUUGACUGUGUGAAUGAUGCGGGAGAUACUUCUCGCCCCUCCUUUUCUAUGCUUGGACUGAAGGGAGCUCCUUUCUCUCGAUUU